AAGAAAAUAACUAUGAUUCCCUUAGUAGUGGCGAAUGAACAGGGAUCAGUUCAAGUAUUUAAUCCUGCACCUUGGUGCUAGGAAUUGUUGUCUUCUGAUAGAGUCCGUGUCGUCAUCCCGGCUAGGUUUUAUUGAAAUAUAGCGUCAUAGAGGGUUAUAACCCCGUCCGCUGGGAUAGUGUGCACUAGCGAUUCGUCAAGAGUGAGUCGUGCUACUUGGGACUGUAGCACUAAUUGGGAGGUAAUGUCCUUCUAAAACUAAAUAUUACUCUGAGACCGAUAGCGAACAAGUACCGUGAGGGAAAGAUGAAAAGGAAUUUGAAAAGAAUGUGAAAAGUACGUGAAAUCGUUAGUUGAAAGCGAAUAGCAUACCUUUGACGUGUACCUUUUGAUAGUUACGGUGUUGUUUUCAUACCUGUAUGUGACUUCUCCACGCUUUCUUUUGGUAGAGGAUUGAUUGCUUCUUCUCGUCUGUUGUCGUGUGUCGAUUUCCUUGCUCGUUCGCGAAAUGUGGCGAGCUUGGCUAUUUACUCCUUCAGCUUGCGUUUGAGCGUCUUGACGUCAUCAGUGUUGUUAUCCGACCCGUCUUGAAACACGGACCAAGGAGUCUAACGUAUGUGCGAGUAUUUGAGUUGUAAACUCUUCUGCGUAGAGAAAUCGAUUGUUAAUAACACUUAGUGUUCCUUAACGGCUGUUUUGAUUCUUCGGAUGAUGGCUACUCGCUUGAGCAUGUAUGUUGGGACCCGA
This 746-nucleotide ribosomal RNA is filed under the name Phractopelta dorataspis. RNAcentral's name for it is "eukaryotic LSU rRNA". It matches the Rfam family "Eukaryotic large subunit ribosomal RNA", at positions 59 to 819 of the family's 3401-position model. The record is from RNAcentral. Lineage: Eukaryota; Acantharea; Arthracanthida; Dorataspididae.